This is a long non-coding RNA of Populus euphratica (Euphrates poplar), 910 nucleotides long. RefSeq lists it as uncharacterized. Lineage: Eukaryota; Viridiplantae; Streptophyta; Magnoliopsida; Malpighiales; Salicaceae. The transcript has 3 exons. The record is from RefSeq and is a predicted model, not a curated record.
UGGUACAAGAGUGUUGUUGUUAAGGAAAAACAACCAGACUCUUUUAAUAAUUGUAGUUUCUUCUGUUUUGGAUCCAUAUCCUUUUCCAAAUAAGUGCUGUCUGCUGAAAGCAACACUAAAAAAAAAUGACUAGUUGUUUGAAAAUUUAUGGUUUUUGAUCCAUGGCUUAAUUUUGUUAAUUGGGAAAAGAACCUGAAGAAUGCCAGUUUUUAGCAGCACAAUAUCCUCAAAUACAAGUAUAAAUGGCAGAAAGAAUGUAAUAUAGCAGCACGGGAUUUGUAAGGAAUUGUGGUGAUUUUGCAGCAAUGAUGACCCAAUAUUUGGCAAUGUAAAUCUUGGUAAUGCUGAUGAGCUAUGGUCUUCUUCAAAAUAUACAACUAACAGCCCGGUCAAGCCCUUUCCGAUAUCUGUGGCUUCAAGAGAAGAGGACCAGCUGUUUGCCCUUGGCUAUGGAAAAAUGAACGACCCUGCAUCUCAUGGUCUGCAGAAUACUCAGGCAGGCCUUGAUCAUGUAGAAUAUGAUGAAGGUAAAAACAAGCCUAUGCUGAAGGAGCAGACAGAUUUGGCUGUUUUGGGAAAGAACACGGCGGCUAACUCUCAACUGACAGAGGAAAAUGGUGCUUUUCCAAAUGAAUUAGCAAACAAGGUACCUUUUUUUUUCUUCCUUUUGAUAUUUUCAAAAUGUUGAUACUGAACCAGACAUGUUACUGAUUUUAACCCUUUUCAUCCAGGAUAACUUUUAGACUCAAUAAGCACCAAAUACAAUCUUUGUUUUUUAGAAUCCUGCUAUGAUCUUUUGAUGUUCUAAGUUCUUCUGUCCAGGAUUAAAGAAAAGUUAUAUCAGUGAAUUGAAUUUGGAAAAUCUUGAUAUUGUUAUCCUUUCACUAAUACAGUGUGGUUUCCUCAUAUU